AGAGUUUGAUCCUGGCUCAGAACGAACGCUGGCGGCAGGCUUAACACAUGCAAGUCGAACGCACCGCAAGGUGAGUGGCAGACGGGUGAGUAACGCGUGGGAACGUGCCCUUCAGUUCGGGAUAACCCAGGGAAACUUGGGCUAAUACCGGAUACGUGCGAGAGCAGAAAGAUUCAUCGCUGAAGGAUCGGCCCGCGUCUGAUUAGCUAGUUGGUAGGGUAAUGGCCUACCAAGGCGACGAUCAGUAGCUGGUCUGAGAGGAUGAUCAGCCACAUUGGGACUGAGACACGGCCCAAACUCCUACGGGAGGCAGCAGUGGGGAAUAUUGGACAAUGGGCGCAAGCCUGAUCCAGCCAUGCCGCGUGAGUGAUGAAGGCCUUAGGGUUGUAAAGCUCUUUCGUCCGGGACGAUAAUGACGGUACCGGAAGAAGAAGCCCCGGCUAACUUCGUGCCAGCAGCCGCGGUAAUACGAAGGGGGCUAGCGUUGUUCGGAAUCACUGGGCGUAAAGGGCGCGUAGGCGGCCUGAUAAGUCGGGGGUGAAAGCCUGUGGCUCAACCACAGAAUUGCCUUCGAUACUGUCGGGCUUGAGACCGGAAGAGGUAAGUGGAACUGCGAGUGUAGAGGUGAAAUUCGUAGAUAUUCGCAAGAACACCAGUGGCGAAGGCGGCUUACUGGUCCGGUUCUGACGCUGAGGCGCGAAAGCGUGGGGAGCAAACAGGAUUAGAUACCCUUGUAGUCC
Molecule: ribosomal RNA, 740 nt
Filed under: uncultured bacterium
Lineage: Bacteria
Description: bacterial SSU rRNA
Rfam family: Bacterial small subunit ribosomal RNA
Source: RNAcentral